Molecule: unclassified non-coding RNA, 266 nt
Filed under: air metagenome
Description: partial contains small subunit ribosomal RNA, internal transcribed spacer 1, and 5.8S ribosomal RNA
Rfam family: Eukaryotic small subunit ribosomal RNA (bases 1-46)
Source: RNAcentral
AAGUCGUAACAAGGUUUCCGUAGGUGAACCUGCGGAAGGAUCAUUACCGAGAGAGGGGCUUCGCGCUCCCGGGGGCUCCGGCCCCCAACUCUUCACCCAUUGUUCAUUCACCCUUGUUGCUUUGGCGGACCUCGGGGCUUCUCCCGCGCUGGCUUCCGGGUCAGUGAGCGUCCGUCAGAGGCCCAUUCAAAUCCUCUUUAUCCGUGACGUCCGAGUAUAUAUAUAAAAAUUAGUCAAAACUUUCAACAACGGAUCUCUUGGUUCCA